This is a ribosomal RNA of 297 nucleotides. It matches the Rfam family "Bacterial small subunit ribosomal RNA", at positions 1 to 300 of the family's 1533-position model.
UUUAAUUGAAGAGUUUGAUCAUGGCUCAGAUUGAACGCUGGCGGCAGGCCUAACACAUGCAAGUCGAGCGGUAACAUUUCUAGCUUGCUAGAAGAUGACGAGCGGCGGACGGGUGAGUAAUGCUUGGGAACAUGCCUUGAGGUGGGGGACAACAGUUGGAAACGACUGCUAAUACCGCAUAAUGUCUACGGACCAAAGGGGGCUUCGGCUCUCGCCUUUAGAUUGGCCCAAGUGGGAUUAGCUAGUUGGUGAGGUAAUGGCUCACCAAGGCGACGAUCCCUAGCUGGUUUGAGAGGA